GGCCUAACACAUGCAAGUCGAGGGGUAGAGUUCUUCGGAACUUGAGACCGGCGCACGGGUGCGUAACGCGUAUGCAAUCUACCUUUUACAGGGGGAUAGCCCAGAGAAAUUUGGAUUAAUACCUCAUAGUAUUAUGAAAUGGCAUCAUUUUAUAAUUAAAGUCACAACGGUAAAAGAUGAGCAUGCGUCCCAUUAGCUAGUUGGUAAGGUAACGGCUUACCAAGGCUACGAUGGGUAGGGGUCCUGAGAGGGAGAUCCCCCACACUGGUACUGAGACACGGACCAGACUCCUACGGGAGGCAGCAGUGAGGAAUAUUGGACAAUGGGCGCAAGCCUGAUCCAGCCAUGCCGCGUGCAGGAUGACGGUCCUAUGGAUUGUAAACUGCUUUUAUACGAGAAGAAACACUCCUUCGUGAAGGAGCUUGACGGUAUCGUAAGAAUAAGGAUCGG
This 450-nucleotide ribosomal RNA is filed under the name uncultured Flavobacteriia bacterium. RNAcentral's name for it is "bacterial SSU rRNA". It matches the Rfam family "Bacterial small subunit ribosomal RNA", at positions 45 to 496 of the family's 1533-position model. Lineage: Bacteria; Pseudomonadati; Bacteroidota; Flavobacteriia. The record is from RNAcentral.